This 1388-nucleotide long non-coding RNA is filed under the name Elaeis guineensis (African oil palm). RNAcentral's name for it is "long non-coding RNA (EGUI_LNC048587)". Lineage: Eukaryota; Viridiplantae; Streptophyta; Magnoliopsida; Arecales; Arecaceae. The record is from RNAcentral.
GGAUUGGAUCAUCGUUUGAGUGGUGUUCAUGUCAUAUAAUAGAAUCAAAAAUUGGGGACAACCUCCCUAGACAACUCCCACAUGUGCCAAAGUUAUAUGUAAGUGCAUACAACUAAAUAUUUGCAUAUCUUGGAUGGAUCUUUUUAUCAUUCAUCUCACACAGGAUACUAUACCUAAACAUGGAUUUUCUAUAAUUUUUUGUAUACUGAAAAUAUUUAUGAUAAAUUCUAGAUAUAUCAGAAUAAAUUGUGAUGAAUUAUUUUUGUUUUUCAUCAAGGCAUGUUACUGGAAAUUAAUUUUAUGCUCCCUGAAUAAUUUGGCAUUGUGUUGUCUCUUUAUUUAUGUUUGUAUUUAUAAACUCAAUUUGAACAUAAAUCUAAAUAAUUUUUGAGAAAUAAUUGUGUAUAUGCUGAAAUUUUAUUAUUUUUUAAUUAGUAAAGCAUAUAACUAUACAAAGUGCCAUGUUUUUUGUGCCAAUUUACUUAUUAAUUAUUAGUUAAUUCAUUGAGGGCAUCAAAUUAUAUUUGUCCUAGUUGGAUAAUCCUGUGAGCUAGUAUAGACGAUAUUGACAAAGUGAGGGAAUAAUUCUUUGUACACCGCCCGCGGUGAUUCACCCACACACAGGUUUGAAAGAAAAAAAAUUAUUUUUUUAGAUGCCAUAUCUUGAGCCCGUGUAUGAGCAAACCAUCCAGAGUGGUGCAUGUGGAGCUGCAUGCAUAAAAAAUUAUUCUUUAUGAGAUUGUUCGAUAAAGAUUCUGAGAUAGUUCUCUUUGGGUUACAAUCAUUUCAUCAAAUGGGUUAUUGUGUGCAUUAAUUUCGGAGGGAUGUGAGUGAUCAAUGAGGUUUUUUUUACUGAUUCUGAAGGGAUUUAUCUACCGAAAGGGAAUGAGUCUUUAAAAAGUCAUUCUCAUUGUUUCAUUUGAGUGGGAGGCUCAUAUUAAAUGUCAUGGAGUCUGCCCAAAGGAGCACAUAUAGUGAUAUUCUAUGACUUCUACAAGGAUGUUGAUAUAAUACUGUUAUAAGUUAUGAUUUUACUAUCUUUUCCAUUAAAUUGUGUUUAUUUUUAGUUAGCAACAUUCCUAUGAAUAAUCAAAUAUUCUCUAUUGAGACUCUGGGAACAAUUUUGUGAGAUGAAAAGUGAUGUCGAGCCAGGACCUAGAUAUAGACUUGUGCGAGGGUGAUUUCCCUAAGCCUGAUGAUAAAAGUAUUGUAGGGUAGAAAUCUUAAUAUCAGAAGCGGGAGAGGCUAAUAGGUUGAUGAUAUAAAUUACGAAAAAAAAAAUCUAUAUUUGGAUUCUUCGAGAAGCAUGCCAACUGAGACCAAUACUAAAAAAAUUCUUGAUACCACUGGACAGUGAUCCAAAAAUCUGAAAAGGCCAAAACUGGGGA